AAGUCGUAACAAGGUUUCCGUAGGUGAACCUGCGGAAGGAUCAUUAAAGUAUCUUCUCGGGAGGGAGGCCAGUCCAGCUCCGGUCCCCCAAAGGGCCGUGCAGCGGGCGAACCGCCCGACCGAAACCUCACAAACCCCGUGCACUUUCCGACGGUGGAGGGAGAACCGGGCGAGAGCUCGGGAUUCCUGAAGCCGCCGACUCACAAACCCCUCUUUUAAAGAAUGACACAGCGACCGUCGUGUCGCCUAACUUAACGAAACAACUUUCAACAACGGAUCUCUUGGCUCUC
RNAcentral lists this unclassified non-coding RNA (290 nucleotides) under fungal sp. RNAcentral describes it as "partial internal transcribed spacer region". The stretch from base 1 to 46 matches the Rfam family "Eukaryotic small subunit ribosomal RNA", at positions 1786 to 1831 of the family's 1831-position model. Lineage: Eukaryota; Fungi. The record is from RNAcentral.